Long non-coding RNA from Phoenix dactylifera (date palm), 768 nucleotides. RefSeq lists it as uncharacterized. The record is from RefSeq and is a predicted model, not a curated record. Lineage: Eukaryota; Viridiplantae; Streptophyta; Magnoliopsida; Arecales; Arecaceae.
UUCUUCUUUUCCUUUUUCUUCUUCUCUUCUUCCCAAAGCUUCUUCUUCUUCUUCUUCUUUUCUUUCUUCUCCUCCCGCUAACCCAAGGAAGGGGGGAGAUCCCCCUUGUCAGAUCGCUCGUGAGGAGACUGGCCGAGGCUGACGACGCCCGCGGUAGGCCAGCGGUGCCCGUGGCCGAGCCGGGCGGUGCCUGUGGCCGAGAGCCGGCGACGCCGACGGCCACAGACAGAGGAAACAGAACAUGCAGAUAGGAGCGAGCCAAUAGAAAUAAUUGGUGCAGUCAGCAUGUCAGUCAUCAUCGGCUGGGCCUAACUGAUAGCUGUUACAUUUGCAGUGAAGAACAUUCCAUCUCUUAAGCAAUGACAAUGAAGCUGGUGGUUAUGCAAUUGCUGAGGUUUUCUAUCUCGCCUUCAAGAAUAGAUGUGGUAGUGGAAAUGGGGGAAUCGUUUGUUUGGUUGGAUUGCAGUUGUUUGGGUGGCAACUGUCGCAGUUUUGUUGUCUCUACCAAUUGCUUCUCCUGUUGCUGUUGGAGGAGUGCUCGUCCUUACCCUUUCUUCAUGGAUCCUGAGCGCAAGGCAUUGAACUCUGCUAUGGUAUCAUGUUAAAAUCACCACUUGUCCCAAUAAUUUAAGCUAAUAUGAUGAGGUAGAUUUAUUUAUACAGAGGCCCUAUAAGAAACAUUGAUGUAUGAACGAAUGUAAUACCAAUCGAUAUGUACAGACAUUUUACAUGAUCAAACAAAUUAAACACCGGGCAGCAUUUAUUACA